Molecule: ribosomal RNA, 1531 nt
Filed under: Escherichia coli
Lineage: Bacteria; Pseudomonadati; Pseudomonadota; Gammaproteobacteria; Enterobacterales; Enterobacteriaceae
Description: bacterial SSU rRNA
Rfam family: Bacterial small subunit ribosomal RNA
Source: RNAcentral
AGAGUUUGAUCAUGGCUCAGAUUGAACGCUGGCGGCAGGCCUAACACAUGCAAGUCGAACGGUAACAGGAAGAAGCUUGCUUCUUUGCUGACGAGUGGCGGACGGGUGAGUAAUGUCUGGGAAACUGCCUGAUGGAGGGGGAUAACUACUGGAAACGGUAGCUAAUACCGCAUAACGUCGCAAGACCAAAGAGGGGGACCUUCGGGCCUCUUGCCAUCGGAUGUGCCCAGAUGGGAUUAGCUAGUAGGUGGGGUAACGGCUCACCUAGGCGACGAUCCCUAGCUGGUCUGAGAGGAUGACCAGCCACACUGGAACUGAGACACGGUCCAGACUCCUACGGGAGGCAGCAGUGGGGAAUAUUGCACAAUGGGCGCAAGCCUGAUGCAGCCAUGCCGCGUGUAUGAAGAAGGCCUUCGGGUUGUAAAGUACUUUCAGCGGGGAGGAAGGGAGUAAAGUUAAUACCUUUGCUCAUUGACGUUACCCGCAGAAGAAGCACCGGCUAACUCCGUGCCAGCAGCCGCGGUAAUACGGAGGGUGCAAGCGUUAAUCGGAAUUACUGGGCGUAAAGCGCACGCAGGCGGUUUGUUAAGUCAGAUGUGAAAUCCCCGGGCUCAACCUGGGAACUGCAUCUGAUACUGGCAAGCUUGAGUCUCGUAGAGGGGGGUAGAAUUCCAGGUGUAGCGGUGAAAUGCGUAGAGAUCUGGAGGAAUACCGGUGGCGAAGGCGGCCCCCUGGACGAAGACUGACGCUCAGGUGCGAAAGCGUGGGGAGCAAACAGGAUUAGAUACCCUGGUAGUCCACGCCGUAAACGAUGUCGACUUGGAGGUUGUGCCCUUGAGGCGUGGCUUCCGGAGCUAACGCGUUAAGUCGACCGCCUGGGGAGUACGGCCGCAAGGUUAAAACUCAAAUGAAUUGACGGGGGCCCGCACAAGCGGUGGAGCAUGUGGUUUAAUUCGAUGCAACGCGAAGAACCUUACCUGGUCUUGACAUCCACGGAAGUUUUCAGAGAUGAGAAUGUGCCUUCGGGAACCGUGAGACAGGUGCUGCAUGGCUGUCGUCAGCUCGUGUUGUGAAAUGUUGGGUUAAGUCCCGCAACGAGCGCAACCCUUAUCCUUUGUUGCCAGCGGUCCGGCCGGGAACUCAAAGGAGACUGCCAGUGAUAAACUGGAGGAAGGUGGGGGAUGACGUCAAGUCAUCAUGGCCCUUACGACCAGGGCUACACACGUGCUACAAUGGCGCAUACAAAGAGAAGCGACCUCGCGAGAGCAAGCGGACCUCAUAAAGUGCGUCGUAGUCCGGAUUGGAGUCUGCAACUCGACUCCAUGAAGUCGGAAUCGCUAGUAAUCGUGGAUCAGAAUGCCACGGUGAAUACGUUCCCGGGCCUUGUACACACCGCCCGUCACACCAUGGGAGUGGGUUGCAAAAGAAGUAGGUAGCUUAACCUUCGGGAGGGCGCUUACCACUUUGUGAUUCAUGACUGGGGUGAAGUCGUAACAAGGUAACCGUAGGGGAACCUGCGGUUGGAUCACCU